UUUUCAGUUUAUUCGUAAUUAUUUAAUCUUGAGCACGGUGCAACUAUAGGUAGGCGUGUCAUGCCUAGCCCAAUGCCUUAGACCUUCUCGACAAUUAGGCCUAUUUAUGUGCACUAAAUUCUAGGGUUUGGUCAUUAUCAUCUGCCUCCACUCCAUAGAGAAUAUCUCUCAAAACCCUAGCCCCCUUUCUCUUCUUCUUGUUGAUUUUGGAGCUUUUAUGCAUUAUUCCUACAUGUUUGGUGUUCUUUAGUGGUGCAAACAAGAAACUUUUACCUUUGGAGCUUUGCAACUAAAUUGUUCAACCUUCUUUCAGCUUUUGGACUUUGGUAAGUCAUAAAGAUCUUUGUUUUGUGUUGUGUCCGCUUUGGAUCUAUAAGUUAACUGGGUAGUUGGAGUUUUGGUCCUUUGGAGUUCGAAGCAACUCUAGAGGUUUUUGAUGAUGAUAUUAUGCAUGUCUAGCCUUUAGUUGGGAAUUUGGUGCAUGAUAGGGCUUUUCAAGCCUCAUGCAAGUGAUAAGUGCAUUUACGGGGAUUUUGGUGAAUUAGGGUUUGAGAUCUUGGUUGUUUGGAUCACCCAGAUGGAUAAAGUUGGAAACUUUAUCCAUUAAGACAUCUUAGAGAUUCAGAUCUAAGAGUUGUGGCCCAUGACUUUGUGGUUUAAGGUUUUAAACCUUGUUUGGGAAAUUAACUAUUUGAGAAGCAUGGCGCGCUUCUAUAGGAUGUGGCCCACUUCUAGAUAAAUUGUCCUGAAUUCGACUAUUUUGUCCUGUAGUGAAGCAUGAGGUGUUUGCAGAUGCACCACACGCUUUUGUAGGGCACGAUGCACCUGGUCAAAGUUAAAGUUUGACUUAGGCUAUUGACCGUUGACUUUUGACUAGUUUGACUUUUGGUUAAAUUUUAGGGAAAUUGAGUGUUUGUCUAAGGACUGGUCUAGGUUAUCAUUAGGUGGCUUGUGUUAGUUGUUUCUGUGUCGGGGUUGUUGGUGAGCUUCUAUUGUUUAGUUGAUGUGAGUUUUCUCACUAUAUUAUAUAUUACAGUAUGUGUCCUAGUGUGUUAGGAUGUGGUUAGACUGUAGAAUGUUGUUAGGUAGGUAGACUUGUAAACUGUUAUCUAUUACACUAAGUUGUCUAUUUAUCUAUAUGAUGUAUAUGUUGACAUAUUUUAUGGUGGGCUGAGGCAUUCCAGCUUUGUGCGGAAGGCAAAGAUGUGGGCAGACCAACUUUAUGUUGAAGGCCAAUCGGUGUGUUGAUGACAAGAUCAAUAUCAAGUCUUGUGAGUCUAGACAUUCACAAGGGGUGAAUUGAUGGAAAGAUCAACUAAAGUGUUAUGAUCCUAGAUACUCGAUGUUGUACGAGCAGAUUGGUUGUAUCCCCAAGAGCUUUCUUUGUAUGCAUGUAUGUUUAUUGAUAUUUUGUGGAACUUACUAAGCAUUAUGCUUAUAGUUGUGUAUUAAAUAUUUUUAGGUAUUUUGGGGAACUCACUAAGCUUUAUGCUUAUAGUUGUGGAUUAAAUAUUUUUCUGGUAAUUA
RNAcentral lists this long non-coding RNA (1527 nucleotides) under Lactuca sativa (garden lettuce). Its description in RNAcentral is "long non-coding RNA (LSAT_LNC000308)". Lineage: Eukaryota; Viridiplantae; Streptophyta; Magnoliopsida; Asterales; Asteraceae. The record is from RNAcentral.